Molecule: microRNA precursor, 143 nt
Filed under: Canis lupus familiaris (dog)
Lineage: Eukaryota; Metazoa; Chordata; Mammalia; Carnivora; Canidae
Description: microRNA cfa-mir-2387 precursor
Rfam family: mir-2387 microRNA precursor family (bases 35-112)
Source: miRBase by way of RNAcentral
CGGGGAGCACGGGGGCGAGAGGCCGGCCAGGCGGAGCGUGGAGGGCCUGGAAGGCCUGGCUUUGCAGCGUGUUCUGGACUCUGCAGACCCGGCCUUGGCAAGCUCUUCCGCUGACGUCCCCGCGGCCGGAGCCCCAGCGCCCC